GACGAACGCUGGCGGCGUGCUUAACACAUGCAAGUCGAGCGGUAAGGCCCUUUCGGGGGUACACGAGCGGCGAACGGGUGAGUAACACGUGGGUGACCUGCCCUCAGCUCUGGGAUAAGCCUGGGAAACUGGGUCUAAUACUGGAUAUGACUCCACGGUGCAUGUCGUGGGGUGGAAAGCCUUGUGCGGCUGAGGAUGGGCCCGCGGCCUAUCAGCUUGUUGGUGGGGUGAUGGCCUACCAAGGCGACGACGGGUAGCCGGCCUGAGAGGGCGACCGGCCACACUGGGACUGAGACACGGCCCAGACUCCUACGGGAGGCAGCAGUGGGGAAUCUUGCGCAAUGGGCGAAAGCCUGACGCAGCGACGCCCGCGUGAGGGAUGAC
This 384-nucleotide ribosomal RNA is filed under the name uncultured bacterium. RNAcentral describes it as "bacterial SSU rRNA". It matches the Rfam family "Bacterial small subunit ribosomal RNA", at positions 28 to 412 of the family's 1533-position model. The record is from RNAcentral.